This 406-nucleotide ribosomal RNA is filed under the name uncultured bacterium. RNAcentral's name for it is "partial 16S ribosomal RNA". It matches the Rfam family "Bacterial small subunit ribosomal RNA", at positions 30 to 526 of the family's 1533-position model. The record is from RNAcentral.
AUUGAACGCUGGCGGCAGGCUUAACACAUGCAAGUCGAACGAGUGGCGGACGGGUGAGUAAUGCUUGGGAAUCUAGCUUAUGGAGGGGGAUAACUACGGGAAACCGUAGCUAAUACCGCGUACCAUAGGAUGAGCCCAAGUGGGAUUAGCUAGUAGGUGGGGUAAAGGCUCACCAAGCCGACGAUCCCUAGCUGGUCUGAGAGGAUGACCAGCCACACUGGCACUGAGACACGGCCCAGACUCCUACGGGAGGCAGCAGUGGGGAAUAUUGCGCAAUGGGUGCAACCCUGACGCAGCCAUGCCGCGUGAAUGAAGAAGGCCUUCGGGUUGUAAAGUUCUUUCAGUAGGGAGGCGUUACCUACAGAAGAAGCACCGGCUAACUCCGUGCCAGCAGCCGCGGUAAUUC